UCGGUGCCGCAGCUAACGCAUUAAGUACUCCGCCUGGGAAGUACGCUCGCAAGAGUGAAACUCAAAGGAAUUGACGGGGACCCGCCCAAGUAGCGGAGCAUGUGGUUUAAUUCGAAGCAACGCGAAGAACCUUACCGAAGCUUGACAUCCCAAUGACAUCUCCUUAAUCGGGGAGUUCCCUUCGGGGACAUUGGUGACAGGUGGGGCAUGGUUGUCGUCAGCUCGUGUCGUUAGAUGUUGGGUUAAGUCCCGCAACGAGCGCCACCCUUGUCUUUAGUUGC
RNAcentral lists this ribosomal RNA (281 nucleotides) under Clostridioides difficile. RNAcentral describes it as "partial 16S ribosomal RNA". It matches the Rfam family "Bacterial small subunit ribosomal RNA", at positions 840 to 1118 of the family's 1533-position model. The record is from RNAcentral. Lineage: Bacteria; Bacillati; Bacillota; Clostridia; Peptostreptococcales; Peptostreptococcaceae.